CCAACAGGGAUUGCCUUAGUAACGGCGAGUGAAGCGGCAAAAGCUCAAAUUUGAAAUCUGGCACCUUCGGUGUCCGAGUUGUAAUUUGAAGAAGGUAACUUUGGAGUUGGCUCUUGUCUAUGUUCCUUGGAACAGGACGUCACAGAGGGUGAGAAUCCCGUGCGAUGAGAUGCCCAAUUCUAUGUAAAGUGCUUUCGAAGAGUCGAGUUGUUUGGGAAUGCAGCUCUAAGUGGGUGGUAAAUUCCAUCUAAAGCUAAAUAUUGGCGAGAGACCGAUAGCGAACAAGUACAGUGAUGGAAAGAUGAAAAGAACUUUGAAAAGAGAGUGAAAAAGUACGUGAAAUUGUUGAAAGGGAAGGGCUUGAGAUCAGACUUGGUAUUUUGCGAUCCUUUCCUUCUUGGUUGGGUUCCUCGCAGCUUACUGGGCCAGCAUCGGUUUGGAUGGUAGGAUAAUGACUAAGGAAUGUGGCUCUACUUCGGUGGAGUGUUAUAGCCUUGGUUGAUACUGCCUGUCUAGACCGAGGACUGCG
This 529-nucleotide ribosomal RNA is filed under the name Debaryomyces hansenii. Its description in RNAcentral is "LSU rRNA". It matches the Rfam family "Eukaryotic large subunit ribosomal RNA", at positions 65 to 599 of the family's 3401-position model. Lineage: Eukaryota; Fungi; Ascomycota; Pichiomycetes; Serinales; Debaryomycetaceae. The record is from RNAcentral.